GCUUAACUGAACCACCAACCAAUCCCUACACAACCUAAGAACCCUUACAUAAUACUGAGUAAUUCUAUAUCCCCUAUAGAAGAUUUCAUGUUAAAACUAGUAACAAGAAGAAGAACUUCUCCUAAAAUGCAAGUGUAAAUCAGACAGGACACCCCGCUGACAAUUAGCACUCUUGAACAAAAAGUAGCAACUUAACAAGAAAACCCUACUAUACCCCGUGUUAACCUGACACAAGAGCAUUACAAGAAAGAUUUAAAGAAAGAGAAGGAACUCGGCAAACAUUAACCUCGCCUGUUUACCAAAAACAUCGCCUCUUGAAUAAAUAUAAGAGGUCCAGCCUGCCCAGUGACUCUGUUCAACGGCCGCGGUAUCCUAACCGUGCGAAGGUAGCGUAAUCACUUGUUCUUUAAAUGAGGACUAGUAUGAACGGCGCCACGAAGGUUACACUGUCUCCUCUUUCCAAUCAGUGAAACUAAUCUCCCCGUGAAGAAGCGGGGAUAAGUAUAUAAGACGAGAAGACCCUAUGGAGCUUUAAACCACACAACACCUGCUCUAACUUAACUAACUUCCAGAAAAACCCCUAUCUACCCACGCAGGAUGAUUGCCAGUUUUAGGUUGGGGUGACCGCGGAGCACAACAUAACCUCCACAUUGAAAGGAGUCCACUCCUUAGCCAAGAGCCACACCUCCACGCAUCAACAAAAUGACAUUAAUUGACCCAAUAUAUUGAUCAACGAACCAAGUUACCCUAGGGAUAACAGCGCAAUCCACUUUAAGAGCCCCUAUCGACAAGUGGGUUUACGACCUCGAUGUUGGAUCAGGGUAUCCCGGUGGUGCAGCCGCUACCAAAGGUUCGUUUGUU
RNAcentral lists this ribosomal RNA (861 nucleotides) under Nymphargus buenaventura. Its description in RNAcentral is "partial large subunit ribosomal RNA". It matches the Rfam family "Bacterial large subunit ribosomal RNA", at positions 1409 to 2581 of the family's 2925-position model. Lineage: Eukaryota; Metazoa; Chordata; Amphibia; Anura; Centrolenidae. The record is from RNAcentral.